CUACGGGUGGCUCCAGUGAGGAAUAUUGCACAAUGGAGGAAACUCUGAUGCAGCAAUGCCGCGUGGAGGAUGACGCAUUUCGGUGUGUAAACUCCUUUUAUAUGUCAAGAAAAUGACGGUAGCAUAUGAAUAAGCACCGGCUAACUCCGUGCCAGCAGCCGCGGUAUACGGAGGGUGCAAGCGUUACUCGGAAUCACUGGGCGUAAAGGACGCGUAGGCGGGAUAUCAAGUAAGGUGUGAAAUCCUACAGCUUAACUGUAGAACUGCACUUGAAACUGGUAACCUAGAGUAUGGGAGGGGGAGAUGGAAUUAGUGGUGUAGGGGUAAAAUCCGUAGAUAUCACUAGGAAUACCUAAAGCGAAGGCGAUCUCCUGGAACAUAACUGACGCUAAGGCGUGAAAGCGUGGGGAGCAAACAGGAUUAGAUACCCCCGAGUC
Molecule: ribosomal RNA, 437 nt
Filed under: uncultured bacterium
Lineage: Bacteria
Description: partial 16S ribosomal RNA
Rfam family: Bacterial small subunit ribosomal RNA
Source: RNAcentral